Ornithorhynchus anatinus (platypus) is the source of this 77-nucleotide small nucleolar RNA. RefSeq annotates it as small nucleolar RNA SNORD47. Lineage: Eukaryota; Metazoa; Chordata; Mammalia; Monotremata; Ornithorhynchidae. The transcript has a single exon. The record is from RefSeq and is a predicted model, not a curated record.
AAUGAAUGAAUGAAAGAUUCUGUCAAAUGAAAUAGACUGAUUUCACCUAUCAACUGUCCAAUUUUUAUUCUGAGGUU